Long non-coding RNA from Felis catus (domestic cat), 1038 nucleotides. RefSeq lists it as uncharacterized. The transcript is spliced from 4 exons. NCBI's taxonomy places the organism in Eukaryota, Metazoa, Chordata, Mammalia, Carnivora, Felidae. The record is from RefSeq and is a predicted model, not a curated record.
GUAGCUAUUGUUCUUAUUCUUGAAUAAUAAUAUGGCUCCCCGUGUUUGUGUCUCUUUGUACAUUCAGUGCUAGGCUUUAGGGGUUAGGGUAUGUGCCCUCGCACACUAAUUUUUGUCUUUAUGAACAGCCAAGGAGAGAGAAUAAAUGGCACAGGUAGCCUGUGUUUGUUGGAGGGGCAACAAAAAAGAAACUUCAUUUUCUCUGCGGGGCUUCAGCUGCCUAACGUGACAGGUGCCCAGAGAGAGUGAAUUACGUGGUCGUAAAGACUUGGGGGAUGUGCGAUGUGGUCCCGUAAGGAAGGACUCUCCUGUUGGAAGGAGGAAGGGGACGCCGUGAGACACUGGUCACUCUCAAUUGAAGUCUAGAUAAUCAGACUGAAGUGUGCCCAAGAAUGUUUAAAAAUCCGAUGACCGAGGCAGAAGAAAAUCCAUUUUGUAACUGUUGACAGCGAUUUGGGCAGCCAGACAUGCAGCACCGGGAGCGCCUGCUUUAUUUUUCUUCUUUCUCCUUGUGCCUCUAGAGCUAUUAUAGUGAUCAGCCUUCCACCCACUAAAAAUGUAAAUCAUCAGAGAACAGGGACUUUGGCUGGUUUUGCUCACGAUUAACACAUGGGCUUCAUGCCCAAUGUGGGGCUUGAACUCACAACCCUGGGAUCAAGUAUCAGAUGCUCUACCGACUGAGCCAGCUGGGCGCCCCCUUAUUUGUAUUGUUCUUGAUGAAAAUGUCAGGAUUCAUCUAUUUUGAUGGGGAGUGUUCUUAUUAAAGGAGCCCCAUUGGAAUGUAUUAAUGGCCUUCAUCCUCCUGGUGAAAUCUCUACAGAUAAGGCUCAGCGUGUAUUAUCUCCCAGGGAGUGUUUAUAUUUUAUCAGCGAAGACUUACAAGCUCAGAAAGCCUUCAAGAGGUGAAGAAUGAGCCUCUAAAAGAAAAUUUAAGGGCGCCCGGGUGGCUCAGUUGGCUGGGCGUCCGACUUCGGCUCAGAUCACGAUCUCACAGUUUGCGAGUUCGAGCCCCGUGUCGGGCUCUGUGCUGACAGCUCA